CAUAGCCACGGUAAUGCGUAGGUGGCAAGCGUUGUCCGGAAUUAUUGGGCGUAAAGGGCUCGCAGGCGGUUUCUUAAGUCCGAUGUGAAAGCCCCCGGCUCAACCGGGGAGGGUCAUUGGAAGCUGGGAAACUUGAGUGCAGAAGAGGAGAGUGGAAUUCCACGUGUAGCGGUGAAAUGCGUAGAGAUGUGGAGGAACACCAGUGGCGAAGGCGACUCUCUGGUCUGUAACUGACGCUGAGGAGCGAAAGCGUGGGGAGCGAACAGGAUUAGAUACCCCGGUAGUCCCUGUCUCUUAUACC
This 301-nucleotide ribosomal RNA is filed under the name uncultured bacterium. RNAcentral's name for it is "partial 16S ribosomal RNA". It matches the Rfam family "Bacterial small subunit ribosomal RNA", at positions 510 to 808 of the family's 1533-position model. The record is from RNAcentral.